Molecule: ribosomal RNA, 568 nt
Filed under: uncultured Phenylobacterium sp.
Lineage: Bacteria; Pseudomonadati; Pseudomonadota; Alphaproteobacteria; Caulobacterales; Caulobacteraceae
Description: bacterial SSU rRNA
Rfam family: Bacterial small subunit ribosomal RNA
Source: RNAcentral
CAGGUCACUCCUACGGGAGGCAGCAGUAGGGAAUCUUGCGCAAUGGGCGAAAGCCUGACGCAGCCAUGCCGCGUGAAUGAUGAAGGUCUUAGGAUUGUAAAAUUCUUUCACCGGGGAAGAUAAUGACGGUACCCGGAGAAGAAGCCCCGGCUAACUUCGUGCCAGCAGCCGCGGUAAUACGAAGGGGGCUAGCGUUGCUCGGAAUUACUGGGCGUAAAGGGCGCGUAGGCGGAUACUUAAGUUGGGGGUGAAAGCCCGGGGCUCAACCUCGGAAUUGCCUUCAAUACUGGGUAUCUUGAGUUCGGGAGAGGUGAGUGGAAUGCCGAGUGUAGAGGUGAAAUUCGUAGAUAUUCGGCGGAACACCAGUGGCGAAGGCGACUCACUGGCCCGAUACUGACGCUGAGGCGCGAAAGCGUGGGGAGCAAACAGGAUUAGAUACCCUGGUAGUCCACGCUGUAAACGAUGAGUGCUAGUUGUCGGCAUGCAUGCAUGUCGGUGACGCAGCUAACGCAUUAAGCACUCCGCCUGGGGAGUACGGUCGCAAGGCUGAAACUUAAAGGAAUUGACG